CUCAGAGAAAGGUUUUAUGUCCCAAGUGUGCCUGGCAGGAGUGAGCCAGCAUGCCAGAGGGGCCGUGUGGAGAAAGACAGAGGGUGUCUCAGUAGCUGUCUGUGUGUGGACAGAUGCUUAAGGAUAAGAGAGAUCCCACUCCUUAAUCCCAAGGCACUCUCUGAGAACCCACUAAGGGACAGAAAAUCAUGAAUGGGACUGAGUUUAAGUUUCCCACUACUCAUGCGAGAAAGGCGGCUCUUACAACAAAAAAUAAAGUUUUAUAAUGUAAAGACUGUAGAUUUCUUGCUCACCUGAAUUUGUGGGCUGAGAUUCAUACCUGUAAAUAGAGUUAAAAAGAACAACCAGUGUGAUAUUGACAUGAUGGCUCAAGAGAUGGGGAUAAGAAGCAAAAGAAGGGAAGGAAAAAGAGCACUACUCAUACGAAGUGACAGGUGCUUGAACCAUUCUGUCCUGCUGCCUGGAACUAAGAACACCCUGAGUUGACUGUGUAGGAGACUGAAAGGACUAAGCACUUACUGCUUCAGUGUGCUUCCUUGAAGAACAGCUGGAAAGCAUCUAGAGCAGUGAGAUGACCAUAGCAGGAGACCAAUAUUGACUAAUAGACUGUGGGGCCACAUUCCAUUGUCCACCAUGCUGCAACAAGACCCAAUGGAAGUGCUUACUUGAGAUACUGGGUCUUUGCAGGCUUGAGUGUGGAAGUUUGUAAGGUUCUUGUUUUGGUUUAUGAAACACUCAUGAUUAUGAACAGUCCAGAGGAGUGAAGAGCCUGAAGAAGGAGAAACUGGACUUCUUGCUUAUAAGAAUCACAUCCUCAUCAGCCACUUGACAACAC
RNAcentral lists this long non-coding RNA (835 nucleotides) under Homo sapiens (human). Its description in RNAcentral is "HSALNT0293403". Lineage: Eukaryota; Metazoa; Chordata; Mammalia; Primates; Hominidae. The record is from RNAcentral.